RNAcentral lists this long non-coding RNA (561 nucleotides) under Mus musculus (house mouse). Its description in RNAcentral is "polypeptide N-acetylgalactosaminyltransferase 6, opposite strand". Lineage: Eukaryota; Metazoa; Chordata; Mammalia; Rodentia; Muridae. The record is from RNAcentral.
AGGAAGCAAGCUGAAUACAAGCCUAGAGAACAUGCCAGUGUGCUCUGUCUCUCUAAGGCCUCUGCUCCAGGUUCCUGCCCUGACAUCUCUCCACAGUAGACUGUGAUGUAGAAAUGUGACAUCUACCUGCCAGGGGUCUGAUGCUACCACGGUUCACUUCAGAGAAGAGGCAGCUGGCUACUUCUACACUACGUUUAUACGCUCAGCUCUGGUCACUGGACUCUGACCUGGAGAUGUGGUAGCUUCCCCGGAAGGCACAGAAAGCCUGACCUCCCCCUGGAUCAGAGCAUCCGUCAGUGGCUUGUGCUCGCUGACCUUGGAGCGUGCCAGUUUCCGAGGAGAGAUCCUGGGUCGGGGUGAGAGGUUCACUGAAUGGUGUGAACCAGAUACUGGCUGCUGGCCCCUCUCUAAGCCAGUGGGCUGGCUGGGGACAUCUGUCCUACUGGUCUCUUUUGGGUGAGAUACCUGCUACUAACUUUGCUAUGGCAGCAACAGAAGUCCACAGUCACAGCUUGGUUAACACCAGAAGGCAACCGUGUGCUUAAUAUAUGCCAGACACUG